Molecule: ribosomal RNA, 99 nt
Filed under: uncultured bacterium
Lineage: Bacteria
Description: partial 16S ribosomal RNA
Rfam family: Bacterial small subunit ribosomal RNA
Source: RNAcentral
UACACACCGCCCGUCACACCAUGGGAGUUUGUUGCACCAGAAGCAGGUAGCUUAACCUUCGGGAGGGCGCUUGCCACGGUGUGGCCGACGACUGGGGUG